AACCUCCGCAAUGUGAGAAAUCGCGACGGGGGGAUCCCAAGUGCCAUUCUUAACGGGAUGGCUUUUCAUUAGUGUAAAGAGCUUUUGGAAUAAGGGCUGGGCAAGACCGGUGCCAGCCGCCGCGGUAACACCGGCAGCUCUAGUGGUAGCAGUUUUUAUUGGGCCUAAAGCGUCCGUAGCCGGUUUAAUAAGUCUCUGGUGAAAUCCUGUAGCUUAACUGUGGGAAUUGCUGGAGAUACUAUUAGACUUGAGACCGGGAGAGGUUAGAGGUACUCCCAGGGUAGAGGUGAAAUUCUGUAAUCCUGGGAGGACCGCCUGUUGCGAAGGCGUCUAACUGGAACGGUUCUGACGGUGAGGGACGAAAGUUAGGGGCGCGAACCGGAUUAGGUACCCGGGUAGUCCUAACUGUAAACGAUGCGGACUUGGUGUUGGGGUGGCUUUGAGCUGCUCCAGUGCCGAAGGGAGCUGUUAAGUCCGCCGCCUGGGAAGUACGGUCGCAAGACUAGAAACUUAAGGAAUU
Molecule: ribosomal RNA, 520 nt
Filed under: uncultured bacterium
Lineage: Bacteria
Description: bacterial SSU rRNA
Rfam family: Archaeal small subunit ribosomal RNA
Source: RNAcentral